This is a long non-coding RNA of Austrofundulus limnaeus, 271 nucleotides long. RefSeq lists it as uncharacterized. Lineage: Eukaryota; Metazoa; Chordata; Actinopteri; Cyprinodontiformes; Rivulidae. The record is from RefSeq and is a predicted model, not a curated record. The transcript has 3 exons.
CCAGAACCUUCAGCAGGGUGUUGGGGGGUCCACUGACCCACUGCCUGCGACCUGCUACAUAUUCCACUGAGGACCGAGGAGAACAUGCUCCUGUUGCUCCUUCCUCAUCUAGCUGGAUUUCAAAUGUGAUUCCUUUCUGCAGAAAAGACUCAAAAUAAUGGACAUGGACAUGGCAGAGGACAGAUCUCUCCUCUGAUCUCUGUUCUGCCUCAGAGCUGCUUCAACGUCCUGCAGGAAAAAGACAACACAAAGUUUAAAAUAUGAAACUGGC